This 274-nucleotide ribosomal RNA is filed under the name uncultured bacterium. RNAcentral describes it as "partial 16S ribosomal RNA". It matches the Rfam family "Bacterial small subunit ribosomal RNA", at positions 523 to 796 of the family's 1533-position model. The record is from RNAcentral.
AUACGAAGGGGGCUAGCGUUGUUCGGAAUUACUGGGCGUAAAGCGCGCGUAGGCGGACUGAUCAGUUGGGGGUGAAAUCCCAGGGCUUAACCCUGGAACUGCCUCCAAUACUGUCAGUCUUGAGUUCGGGAGAGGUGAGUGGAAUUCCUAGUGUAGAGGUGAAAUUCGCAGAUAUUAGGAAGAACACCAGUGGCGAAGGCGGCUCACUGGCCCGAUACUGACGCUGAGGCGCGAAAGCGUGGGGAGCAAACAGGAUUAGAAACCCUAGUAGUCC